ACAUGGCGGGUUAGCAGGGCGGGGGCUGGAAUAUAUUCCAUUCCAGGAGGUAUACCUCCAGAGGGCGCCAGAAGCAUAUAAAACCUAGAUCAAUACUUUAGUGGGCGGGACAUACACAGGCUGCCUGGGUCUUUUGCUCCGAGGCCCGCGCGUGUAUCGGACGUGUCUGCGAGAUGUGACCCGUCGAGGUCUACACACAGGCACUGGACCAAAUGCAGCGUGAUCGUCAGUCGCAGAUGCACCACCACCCGCACAACACGUACACUGUCCAGAAUGGAUUUGAACAUCGAAUCAACAGCUUCCCGGAUUCUAAAGAGAUGAACAGUAACAUCAUGAGACCAGUAUAAAAGCUUAUUCCAACAAAGCUUGACCAGUGGUUCCACAGUCUUCAUCCUCAUCUUCAAAUCCUGAAUGGAGAGACAACUAUGUUACUGUGUCACAAAUCACGCACAUCACGUGUGCCAAACACAAAUACGCCCUCUACACGCGGAGGCCUAACAGAUCUCCACUUCUAAUUUAUUUUGAUAAGUUGCUACCCUCCAAUACUUUUCUUUGAAACCUGUAAAGUUCCAGAAUGAAGUGCGAAUUACAGAAAAUGGCGACUAUCCAGAUUGUGGGCGUCUGGACUGUCACCGUGACUACGUGGAGUUGAUUAUUUACAAAGGUGGAGCAUUUGGUAUACCAUUAGUUGCAGCGGAGCUACAACCUAACACCUAUAUGAAGCUGAAGACUGGAGGAAGCUGCGGAAUGAUGUGCCGGCGCGCCACCACAAUGGAUAGUUAUUGUUAGUCAGAAUAGGAUAAGUAAAAACAAUCAUUCACAAUUGUUUCUUCUAAUCAUGAGGCCGAAUUAGAAGUUAACAAUUAUGAAAGGCUGUUACCGAAUUUAUGUUAAUUUGAAGUUGCUCAAGAGUUUGAUGUAUUUGUUUUAUACCAUUACGAUAAACCACCUAUUUUUGAUAAACGCUUUACAUUUAUAGAAGACUGAAUUAAUACCCGAGCCUGUUACCUUUUUUUGGAGCCACGGUAUGAUCGGAGCUGUUAAUUUGUUAUUCCAGCGCGAAUUUUGAUUAAUUUUGUGUUCAAUAUAAUGUGUUGUUUAGUUCCCCCGGACCGCAGGGAUUAUUGAGAGGGUAACAACUGUCUUGGGGUUUUGAAAAUAGGAAUGAAUGACUAAUGGAAAAAUACUGGGUGAGACCAGAUUGAUUUUUAAUAUCUUAUUGACUCGAUAUAUUUGUGUAGCUUGUACUUUCAAAAUUUAUUUUUAGUGUAUUGUAAAACCAUCGUUAUAUAGAAUAUACUCGUACUUCAAUGUGUAAAACUGUGUUUAGUUUUAGCGGUGUAAUCUUUUCAAGUUUAUUGUUGGAUAUUAUGUGCAUUUAGUUUGUAUUGAUGAUUUUCCAUAUGAAUUGAAAAUGAAAAUAUUUUAUGAAUUGUAAAUUUUUAUAACAUAAUUUUCCUAUCUUCUGUGUAUGUUAAUGUUGUGUUAUUGUAAAAUUUUAUUUAGUUUUAAUUGUUGUAAUAUUUUUAAUCUUUUUACCGAAAGUGCUAAUUUUAAGGGCAUUCUUACGAACUGAAAUUUCGUACGAAUGUGCAAAAAUUUUUUUUGUGAGUAUUGGAGAUAUGUUAUAAAAUAAGAGAAUAUAUUUUUUAUAAGUGCAUAUCUACGAAUUGGUGGGCUCGUAUGAUUGUACUGCGUAUUCGCUGUGAUUAUUUCUAUUUGUUAUUAUACAAGUGCAUAUUAUUUUGUAAGUGCAUUUUCACAAAUUUCUGAUUCGUACCAAUGUACUAUGUUUUUAUCGUUGUUAUAAUUUUGAUAUAUUAUAAUUGAAUAUCUUUUUUUCAUAGGUUCAUUUUUACGAAUUGGUGGGCUCGUAUAAAUGUACUUAGUUCCAAUUUAUGAAAUUAUUUCGAUAUUUAAUUUACAAGUACAUAUUUUAAGUAAAUUCAUCUGUACAAUUUUUUGUGUUGUAUUAAUGUUUUACUUUCUUGUAAUAAUUUAGGUAUUAUAAUAUUUUACAAGUGAAUAUACUUUUUUAUUGACGCAUUUUUACGAAUUGAUGGGCUCGUAUAAACGUACUAAGUUUCAGUUUAUGUAAUUAUUUCGAUAUUUAAUUUACUAUUACAUAUUUUUAAUAAGUACAUCUGUACGAAUUGGUUAGCUCGUAUAAAUGUACUAAGUUUCAAUUGAUGGAAUAAUUUUGAUAUAAUAUUAUUUAACAGGUAAAUAUAUGUACUUAUUUUAUUAGUGCAUUUUUACGAAUUGGUGGGCGCGUAUAAGUGUACUAACUUUCAAUUGAUGUAAUAAUUUCUAUAUUUAAUUUACUAGUAUAUAUUUUUAGUAAAUACAUAUAUAUAUGAAUUGGUGGGCUUGUAUAAAUGUACUAAGUUACAAUUGAUGGAAUAAUUUUGAUAUAAUAUUAUGUUACAAAUGAAUAUACUAUUUGUAUACGUUAUUUUAUUAGUGCAUUCUUAUGAAUUGGUGGGAUCGUAUGAAUGCACCGGGGUAUUGUUGUAAUUAUUUUGAUAUUUUGUUGUACAGUUGCAUAUUAUUUUGUAAGUUAAUUUUCGCGAAUUUAAGAUUUGUAUGACUAUGGUUUUGUUGGUGUAACAUUUUUUAUAUAAUAUUAUUUUCCACGUAAAUAUACUCAUAUUAUAAGUGCAUUUUUACGAAUUGGUGAGCUCGUAUGAAUGUCAUGUUUGCGUGUUUGGUGAAGUUAUUAACGAUAUGUUAUUAUUCAAGUCAUUCUAUUUAGAAGUGUAAAUGUAUUUGGUUUUCCUCAUUGUAUUUCUUAUACUUAAAUAAACUGUGACGAAAUAUCUUUGUCUGUAUACGUACAUUUUUUAAUAAUGGGUUUAAGUGUGUUAAUUUUUACCGGUGUAAUAAUAUUUGUUAUCGGUUUAGAAAUUUAUUUUUGUUGAUGAAUUCGUUAGCUUGUUCGUAUUAGAAUUUAGUUGGUUCUAUUUGCAAUUUUUUUGACUUAAUUAAGUUAGCUGAUUAAAUUAUUAUUAAUUGUAUUCAUUUUAUUUUCUUGUGAAGUCCAUGUAAAAUUGUUUUUCACGUAUACAGUACAGUAAUUAAUUAUAAAUGAUGAUGUAUUCUCGUCUGAAUGUAGUUUUUGUGUAUUGGAAUGUCGGCACUUAGUAAAAUUACCACAUUAAGUAAAAAUAUGCAACAUUUUGAAUGAAAUAUAUUUGUGCCUGUUUGAUCUUCA
Molecule: long non-coding RNA, 3214 nt
Filed under: Manduca sexta (tobacco hornworm)
Lineage: Eukaryota; Metazoa; Arthropoda; Insecta; Lepidoptera; Sphingidae
Description: uncharacterized LOC119190895
Source: RNAcentral